This 78-nucleotide small nuclear RNA is filed under the name Ictidomys tridecemlineatus (thirteen-lined ground squirrel). Its description in RNAcentral is "Spermophilus tridecemlineatus (thirteen-lined ground squirrel) U2 spliceosomal RNA". It matches the Rfam family "U2 spliceosomal RNA". From Rfam's summary of the family: U2 is a small nuclear RNA (snRNA) component of the spliceosome (involved in pre-mRNA splicing). Complementary binding between U2 snRNA (in an area lying towards the 5' end but 3' to hairpin I) and the branchpoint sequence (BPS) of the intron results the bulging out of an unpaired adenosine, on the BPS, which initiates a nucleophilic attack at the intronic 5' splice site, thus starting the first of two transesterification reactions that mediate splicing. Lineage: Eukaryota; Metazoa; Chordata; Mammalia; Rodentia; Sciuridae. The record is from Rfam by way of RNAcentral.
AUCACUUCUCGGCCUUUUGGCUAAGAUCAAGUGUAGUAUCUGAUCAGAAAUGGAUCCAAAAGAAGCUUGGAACUCCCA